Molecule: transfer RNA, 67 nt
Filed under: Pteridomonas danica
Lineage: Eukaryota; Dictyochophyceae; Pedinellales
Source: RNAcentral
AGCUGGGCCAUGUCACCGCGGUAGACGUUCUUGAACCACCACUCGUCCUUCUGGGCGCGGGUCCAGG